This 271-nucleotide small RNA is filed under the name Castor canadensis (American beaver). Its description in RNAcentral is "Metazoan signal recognition particle RNA (ENSCCNG00000005211.1)". It matches the Rfam family "Metazoan signal recognition particle RNA", at positions 1 to 222 of the family's 299-position model. Rfam says of the family: The signal recognition particle (SRP) is a universally conserved ribonucleoprotein. It is involved in the co-translational targeting of proteins to membranes. The eukaryotic SRP consists of a 300-nucleotide 7S RNA and six proteins: SRPs 72, 68, 54, 19, 14, and 9. The record is from Rfam by way of RNAcentral. Lineage: Eukaryota; Metazoa; Chordata; Mammalia; Rodentia; Castoridae.
GCCGGGCGCGGUGGCGCGCGCCUGUAGUCCUAGCUACUCGGGAGGCUGAGGCAGGAGGAUCGCUUGAGUCCAGGAGUUCUGGGCUGCAGUGCGCUAUGCCGAUCGGGUGUCCGCACUAAGUUCGGCAUCAAUAUGGUGACCUCCCGGGAGCGGGGGACCACCAGGUUGCCUAAGGAGGGGUGAACCGGCCCAGGUCGGAAAAAUAAGUAAAAGCAAAAAGAUCUGGGGGUGUAGUUCUGACCCCAGCACUGAAGAAAGAAAAAGAAAGAAU